Molecule: ribosomal RNA, 114 nt
Filed under: Carnobacterium maltaromaticum
Lineage: Bacteria; Bacillati; Bacillota; Bacilli; Lactobacillales; Carnobacteriaceae
Source: RNAcentral
UGUGGUGGCGAUAGCGAAAAGGAUACACCUGUUCCCAUGCCGAACACAGCAGUUAAGCUUUUCAGCGCCGAGAGUAGUUGGGGUUUCCCCUGUGAGGGUAGGACGUUGCCACGC